Molecule: long non-coding RNA, 1819 nt
Organism: Hippoglossus stenolepis (Pacific halibut)
Lineage: Eukaryota; Metazoa; Chordata; Actinopteri; Pleuronectiformes; Pleuronectidae
Exons: 4
Source: RefSeq, a predicted model, not a curated record
CUGAGGUGAACUCACUCACACCACCACACGUGCUAUAAUGAGCUGUUGUCCUGGUUUUGUAACACAUACGGCCGGUGCAUAUCCAGCAGUUCUUCUUCUAAAUGGCCUUGUACUUCCUUUACUUAUGCACCUUCUUCAGCUGCUGCAACUUAUAGCUGGGGUAAUUACAGUCGUUAGCCCCCCCCCCCGGUAUUGUUCUCCGACAGGAUGGAUGAGGAGACGUGUGGGUGGCAGUGGAGGGUGAUGGGAGGGGAGGCAAGGACAGCGAGCAGCAAACAGCACUGCUGAGUAGGAGAAGUACAAUGGGCUGUGAGUCAGAGGGAAACGAGGAGCGAGCAGCGAGAGAAAAAGAGAGAGGUAUGCUGAGAAAAGGUAGGACUUGAGAGGGAGCGUCACGACACAGAGGAGAGAGGGUGGGGGCGCUAAACUCAACCGAGGCUCAGUGAUCUCUAAAGGAUACACCUGAUGAACUUAGUGGCCGCUUUGAGCUGAGCUGAGAGGAAACCAACCUGCAGGGAACGCUGGGCUGUAUUCUCAUUCACGGUCUAUUCAUAGAAGGUCAGCAGGGUCGGCUGGUUAAUACCUGCAGUAGACAGAACAGGUGACUCAUUUAAUGAGAUGCAACCUGGCCGGAAAAACUGGUUGAUCUGCCCUGACCACCGAGGUUCAACUAAUUUCAUCCCUCCAGCAAAUGUUUGCUCCAACUCCAAAUCGAAUCCUGUGGCAAUUUUACGGAGUUGCACUUCGCAAAUAACCCCACCUUGCUUGUUUCAAGACGACAUUGAUACUGAAAUUCUUACUCUGUCUAGUCAUGUUUAAAAAACCUUUAAAAUCUGUUUUAAUAGUCAUUGCUUGUACCAUGUAGUUUCUAUUUUCCAUGAUUAUUUGUUUGCCCAUUGACUCCCACAUGUUCCUACAUCUACUCUCAGAUUAUUUGCCUUGUUUUAUUAUGCUUUUUACGUCAUCUGUUCAACAUGAGACCUGUCCAGGGUGAACCCCACCUCUCGCCAAUUGUUAGCAGUGUUUGGCUCCAGCGUGAUAUCUCUAUGGAUCCUCCCUGGUUAAAUAAAGGAUAAAUAAAAUAAAAAAGAUAAUUCUGUACAGUCCUUGUUAAUGAGCUACACACUCCAGCAAACCAAAUAAUUCAGUCCUCCUUUCACAGCAGACAGAGAUCCCCCGAUGAGAUUAAUGAGAUCAUUCUCCUUUCAUUCAUAUUAAUCACAUUAGUUUUGUUUUGUUUUUCAUGUCAGGCUGUUCCUGUCACUCCGGAUUUGUUAUAAAUCACGACUUUGAUCAGAAAAAAACAAAAGUCUACUCAGACUCACAAAGCUAAUGCUUGUCCCUUAUCAGUCCUUGAUGUGUGAAAGAACAAAGAGGCAUCGGCACCAAAAAAUCCGAGUCGGGGCUUGUUUACAGAAAACGUGUGUAGAUUCUCUGUCUUGCUCAAGAGCUCCUCAUCGGGGCGGAUGUUCACCGGCUCGGGGGACUUGCAUUCGGGGGCCUUCCAGUCGGAGGUGAGCGUCGUGUCCGAAGACAGAGGAAGCAUCUAUUUUUUUUCUUUUCUUUUUGGAGGAAACAUAUAGCUUCUCUAAACAAUACAACAGGAAAGGCUGCUGCACUUCCUCUAUAGAAGAUAAUGAGGAUUGUCACACAACAUGAGGCAUAUAGCGUCUAUAUGGUGAAUAUUGGCUGCUAUAGCAUGAACAUUUUGCUGUAGCAAUAAAUCCACAUAAUUAUGAUGAUGGUGUUAAUUUGAAUUUUACUGAUUAAUGCGGUGAUGAUAAUGUGAUGAUUCUAAAGUAAUGUUGCUGUGGGUUUA